CAAAAACAUGUCUAUAUGAGUUGUAAUAUAAAGUCUAGCCUGCCCACUGAAUUUUGAAGGGCUGCGGUAAUUUGACCGUGCAAAGGUAGCAUAAUCAGUAGUCUUUUAAUUGAAGGCUUGAAUGAACGGUUGGAUGAAAGAAUAUCUGUCUCUUUAAUAAUUUAGAAUUUGACUUUUAAGUGAAAAGGCUUAAAUUUAAUGGAGGGACGAUAAGACCCUAUAAAACUUUAUAUAUAAAGUAUAUAAUCUUUAAAUUAUAUUAAAAUACUGAUAAAUUCUUAAUAUAUUUCGUUGGGGAGACGUUGAUAUAAUUUGUAACUGUCUGAGUGAAUAAAAUAACUAUCAUUAUAUUUUGAUCCUUCUUUGUGGGUUAUAAGAAUAAGUUACUUUAGGGAUAACAGCGUAAUUUUCUCAGAGAGUUCUUAUCGAAGAGAUUAGUUGCGACCUCGAUGUUGAAUUAAAAUUUCAGUUAGGUGUAGCCGCUUAGCUAGUAGGUCUGUUCGACCUUUAAAAUUUUACAUGAUUUGAGUUCAAACCGGUGUGAGCCAGGUUG
This 553-nucleotide ribosomal RNA is filed under the name Palaemon longirostris. RNAcentral's name for it is "partial 16S ribosomal RNA". It matches the Rfam family "Bacterial large subunit ribosomal RNA", at positions 1808 to 2633 of the family's 2925-position model. The record is from RNAcentral. Lineage: Eukaryota; Metazoa; Arthropoda; Malacostraca; Decapoda; Palaemonidae.